GAGCAACUUAGAGGAGACCCUAUCUGCAAAAACAAACAGAAGCAACUGAUGUGCUUUGCUCAUGCAGGGAGCACCUUAGGCAUUGGAGGCUUGCUUACAUAAGGGUGUCCCUUUUCUCUCCAGUAGAAGAACAGCUAUACCCUGCAGCUUAUAUCCAGCCUUGCCCUGGAUGAGAGCUGUCUAUCCUUAUCACUGGAUUGGUCCACUGGGAAAUCUGUAAGGGCCAGAGAGCAGCCGUUGAAGAUCAUUAGCAGUGACUCUAAGGGGCAGCUGCACCUCCUGCUGCUGAGUGAGGGCGCAGCUCAACUACAGCUGCUGGCUUCUUGGCCAGCCCAUCACUUUGAGGCCUGGAUCGCUGCUUUCAAUUACU
This 370-nucleotide long non-coding RNA is filed under the name Rattus norvegicus (Norway rat). Its description in RNAcentral is "long non-coding RNA NONRATT017857". Lineage: Eukaryota; Metazoa; Chordata; Mammalia; Rodentia; Muridae. The record is from RNAcentral.